RNAcentral lists this ribosomal RNA (497 nucleotides) under uncultured bacterium. Its description in RNAcentral is "partial 16S ribosomal RNA". It matches the Rfam family "Bacterial small subunit ribosomal RNA", at positions 28 to 507 of the family's 1533-position model. The record is from RNAcentral.
GACGAACGCUGGCGGCGUGCCUAAUACAUGCAAGUAGAACGCUGAAGCGAGGAGCUUGCUCCUCUUGGGUGAGUUGCGAACGGGUGAGUAACGCGUAGGUAACCUGCCUUUUAGCGGGGGAUAACUACUGGAAACGAUAGCUAAUACCGCAUAACAUUGGAUGACACAUGUCACUUAUUUGAAAGGGGCAAUUGCUCCACUACAAGAUGGACUUCCCGUGUCUUAGGUAGGUGGUUAGGUAAUGGCCCACCUAGGCGACGAUACAUAACCGGCCUGGGAGGGGUAUCCGCCACCCUGGGACCGGGGCACGGCCCAGGCUCCUUCGGGGAGGAGCAGUAAGGGAUCUUCGGCCAUGGGGGCAACCCUUACCGAGCAACGCCGCGGUAGUGGAGAAGGGUUUCGGAUCGUAAAGCCCUGUUGUAAGUCAAGAACGGGUGUGAGAGUGGAAAGUUCACGCUGCGACGGUAGCUUACCAGAAAGGGACGGCUAACUACGUG